GAAAUGCGAUAAGUAAUGUGAAUUGCAGAAUUCAGUGAAUCAUCGAAUCUUUGAACGCACAUUGCGCCCGCCAGUAUUCUGGCGGGCAUGCCUGUUCGAGCGUCAUUUCAACCAUCAAGCCCCCGGCUUGUGUUGGGGACCUGCGGCUGCCCGCAGGCCCUGAAAAACAGUGGCGGGCUCGCUGUCACACCGAGCGUAGUAGCAUACAUUCUCGCUCAGGGCGUGCUGCGGGUUCCGGCCGUUAAACGACCUUCAUAACCCAAGGUUGACCUCGGAUCAGGUAGGAAGACCCGCUGGACUUAAGC
Molecule: unclassified non-coding RNA, 305 nt
Filed under: plant metagenome
Description: partial contains 5.8S ribosomal RNA, internal transcribed spacer 2, and large subunit ribosomal RNA
Rfam family: 5.8S ribosomal RNA (bases 1-105)
Source: RNAcentral